GAAUGCUGACAUAAGUAACGAUAAAGCGGGUGAAAAGCCCGCUCGCCGGAAGACCAAGGGUUCCUGUCCAACGUUAAUCGGGGCAGGGUGAGUCGACCCCUAAGGCGAGGCCGAAAGGCGUAGUCGAUGGGAAACGGGUUAAUAUUCCCGUACUUGGUGUUACUGCGAAGGGGGGACGGAGAAGGCUAUGUUGGCCGGGCGACGGUUGUCCCGGUUUAAGCGUGUAGGUGUGUGUUCCAGGUAAAUCCGGUUCACUUUAACACUGAGGCGUGACGACGAGGCACUACGGUGCUGAAGCAACAAAUGCCCUGCUUCCAGGAAAAGCCUCUAAGCAUCAGGUAACACGAAAUCGUACCCCAAACCGACACAGGUGGUCAGGUAGAGAAUACCAAGGCGCUUGAGAGAACUCGGGUGAAGGAACUAGGCAAAAUGGUGCCGUAACUUCGGGAGAAGGCACGCUGACACGUAGGUGAAGUGAUUUACUCAUGGAGCUGAAGUCAGUCGAAGAUACCAGCUGGCUGCAACUGUUUAUUAAAAACACAGCACUGUGCAAACACGAAAGUGGACGUAUACGGUGUGACGCCUGCCCGGUGCCGGAAGGUUAAUUGAUGGGGUCAGCGUAAGCGAAGCUCCUGAUCGAAGCCCCGGUAAACGGCGGCCGUAACUAUAACGGUCCUAAGGUAGCGAAAUUCCUUGUCGGGUAAGUUCCGACCUGCACGAAUGGCGUAAUGAUGGCCAGGCUGUCUCCACCCGAGACUCAGUGAAAUUGAACUCGCUGUGAAGAUGCAGUGUACCCGCGGCAAGACGGAAAGACCCCGUGAACCUUUACUAUAGCUUGACACUGAACAUUGAGCCUUGAUGUGUAGGAUAGGUGGGAGGCUUUGAAGUGUGGACGCCAGUCUGCAUGGAGCCGACCUUGAAAUACCACCCUUUAAUGUUUGAUGUUCUAACGUGGACCCGUAAUCCGGGUUGCGGACAGUGUCUGGUGGGUAGUUUGACUGGGGCGGUCUCCUCCUAAAGAGUAACGGAGGAGCACGAAGGUUGGCUAAUCCUGGUCGGACAUCAGGAGGUUAGUGCAAUGGCAUAAGCCAGCUUGACUGCGAGCGUGACGGCGCGAGCAGGUGCGAAAGCAGGUCAUAGUGAUCCGGUGGUUCUGAAUGGAAGGGCCAUCGCUCAACGGAUAAAAGGUACUCCGGGGAUAACAGGCUGAUACCGCCCAAGAGUUCAUAUCGACGGCGGUGUUUGGCACCUCGAUGUCGGCUCAUCACAUCCUGGGGCUGAAGUAGGUCCCAAGGGUAUGGCUGUUCGCCAUUUAAAGUGGUACGCGAGCUGGGUUUAGAACGUCGUGAGACAGUUCGGUCCCUAUCUGCCGUGGGCGCUGGAGAACUGAGGGGGGCUGCUCCUAGUACGAGAGGACCGGAGUGGACGCAUCACUGGUGUUCGGGUUGUCAUGCCAAUGGCACUGCCCGGUAGCUAAAUGCGGAAGAGAUAAGUGCUGAAAGCAUCUAAGCACGAAACUUGCCCCGAGAUGAGUUCUCCCUGAGACUUAGAGUCUCCUGAAGGAACGUUGAAGACGACGACGUUGAUAGGCCGGGUGUGUAAGCGCAGCGAUGCGUUGAGCUAACCGGUACUAAUGAACCGUGAGGCUUAACCUU
Molecule: ribosomal RNA, 1655 nt
Filed under: Salmonella enterica
Lineage: Bacteria; Pseudomonadati; Pseudomonadota; Gammaproteobacteria; Enterobacterales; Enterobacteriaceae
Also listed under: 1 other name
Description: partial 23S ribosomal RNA
Rfam family: Bacterial large subunit ribosomal RNA
Source: RNAcentral